AGUGAACGCUGGCGGUAGGCCUAACACAUGCAAGUCAAACGGCAGCACAGUAAGAGCUUGCUCGUACGGGUGGCGAGUGGCGGACGGGUGAGGAAUACAUCGGAAUCUACUUUUUCGUGGGGGAUAACGUAGGGAAACUUACGCUAAUACCGCAUACGACCUACGGGUGAAAGCAGGGGAUCUUCGGACCUUGCGCGAUUGAAUGAGCCGAUGUCGGAUUAGCUAGUUGGCGGGGUAACGGCCCACCAAGGCGACGAUCCGUAGCUGGUCUGAGAGGAUGAUCAGCCACACUGGAACUGAGACACGGUCCAGACUCCUACGGGAGGCAGCAGUGGGGAAUAUUGGACAAUGGGCGCAAGCCUGAUCCAGCCAUACCGCGUGGGUGAAGAAGGCCUUCGGGUUGUAAAGCCCUUUUGUUGGGAAAGAAAAGCAGCAGGUUAAUACCCCGCUGUUCUGACGGUACCCAAAGAAUAAGCACCGGCUAACUUCGUG
RNAcentral lists this ribosomal RNA (492 nucleotides) under uncultured bacterium. RNAcentral describes it as "partial 16S ribosomal RNA". It matches the Rfam family "Bacterial small subunit ribosomal RNA", at positions 29 to 507 of the family's 1533-position model. The record is from RNAcentral.